This 494-nucleotide ribosomal RNA is filed under the name uncultured bacterium. RNAcentral describes it as "partial 16S ribosomal RNA". It matches the Rfam family "Bacterial small subunit ribosomal RNA", at positions 28 to 507 of the family's 1533-position model. The record is from RNAcentral.
GACGAACGCUGGCGGCGUGCUUAACACAUGCAAGUCGAACGGAAAGGCCUGCUUUCCCUUGUGGAUUGCGGGUACUCGAGUGGCGAACGGGUGAGUAACACGUGAGUGAUCUGCCCCCAACUUGGGUAUAAGCCUGGGAAACUGGGUCUAAUUCCCGAUAGGACUGCAGGGUGGUGCCUGUGGUGGAAAACGAUUUUCUAGUGGUUGGGGAUGAGCUCGCGGCCUAUCAGCUUGUUGGUGGGGUAAUGGCCUACCGAGGCGGCGACGGGUAGCCGGCCUGGGAGGGUGGACGGCCACAUUGGGACUGAGAUACGGCCCAGACUCCUACGGGAGGCAGCAGUGGGGAAUAUUGCACAAUGGGCGGAAGCCUGAUGCAGCGACGCCGCGUGGGGGAUGACGGCCUUCGGGUUGUAAACUCCUUUCGACCGCGAGGAAGCCACCUGGUUGGAAGGGUGGUGACGGUAGUGGUAGAAGAAGCACCGGCUAACUACGUG